RNAcentral lists this long non-coding RNA (3083 nucleotides) under Rattus norvegicus (Norway rat). RNAcentral's name for it is "long non-coding RNA NONRATT019796". Lineage: Eukaryota; Metazoa; Chordata; Mammalia; Rodentia; Muridae. The record is from RNAcentral.
GAGCCGGAGGCCCCAGAGCCCAUCACCCGCGGGCCAGCUAUACACCGGCCUGCAGUCAACUCUAACCCAGGACUGCCAGUGAGUGUGGUGUGUCCCGUGGAAGAGGAGGAGGAGGCAGCCGCCGCCGCCGCCGCCGCCGCCGCCGCCACCACCACCACCACCACCACCGAAAAGGAACCCAAGAGUUACUGGAGCCGCCACUACAUCGUGGAUCUGCUGGCUGUGGUGGUGCCAGCUGUGCCAACGGUGGCCUGGCUCUGCCGCUCCCAGAGGCGUCAGGGCCAGCCCAUUUACAACAUCAGCUCCCUGCUGCGGGGCUGCUGCACAGUGGCCUUGCACUCCAUCCGCAGGAUCAGCUGUUCACUGAGCCAGCCGAGCGCUGGCUCAUCCGGUGGCUCCCAGCUCUGAGGCUGCCAGCCCUCCACUUUGGGCAGCCUGACCAUUGAUUGUAGGAUGCCACUUGCUGCCCUCCAUCCCACCCCCACCCCUAUUGGCUUCCUCUUAACUUCCUUUCAGGCCCAGAAUAGCGCCCCCCACUCAAGAUAUCAGUAGUGUCAGGGAUUCAGAAAGGCAUCGCAAAAACGUCAAGAGAAAGGGAUUAAGAUGGCUAAUUGAAGAGGGAGAAACUGGUAAGAGCGCCCCUCCCUCUGUCCCCUCGGCCCACCCAGACUCUAGACAAGGCAGGCCCUGCUCAGAAAGUCUCUGGCUUAUUGAUCUGAGGAUCCUCCCCUCUUUUGAACCAUUCUUGUCAGCACCUGGCCCACUCCAUGCCUUCUCUUCCAGGCCACCCCUUGCCCCUCUCCUUGGGCUCCUGGACCAGUAUUACCUCCUCAAAUGGAGGCAGCCAGGACUCAAGAUGUCCAAUACCCAUCACUACUCCUAACAUGCUUAUCGUGGGAUUGGGAGGGAGCCCUUACCCAAGCCCCAGCUCCCCUUGGGCAAAUCUGCCAGCACAGAGAAGGCAAGGCUAAGGCCCUUCACCUUCUGAGAUGAGUCCACCUCAUCUGUAGCCUAGAGGUACCUCAGUGAGUUGGGAAAGUCAGAGGUCACUUACCACAGGCCCCUUUGGCCCCAAGCCCUAUCUAUGUUUGCACUCAGCUCCCUGCCCAUCCCAGAAACCCCGGGCUGCUUGCUUUCUGGGAUGAGGACUUCUUUCACCCAGCUGACUCCAGAGGAGGAUGAUGGAAGAUGGCUAUCAGGGGGCACCUCCAGAUGAGUUUCUGAAGCCACAACAUCUGCCUCUCCAUGCCAAAGCAGGGUCCCCCAAGUGUGCUUCCCAAGCAGGGGAAUGGCCAGGUAGUGUGAGCCUGUCUGUGCUGCUCCUGGUCCAGGCCUAGUCAGCCUGAGAAAAUGCUGCGAUCCUCACUUCCCUCUUCUUCCCAGAGAGGUCAUACCUACCUGACUGGCCCACCUCCAGGGAGCUGGUAGAGCCCUGCAUCUCACCCUCUCUGGCAUGGGAGCCUCCCUGGUUCUCUGCUAAGGUCGCUUGUCCUCACUGUUGCUCCAGUGGCCACUACUUGACUCAUGAGUUCUGCCCCACCACUCUGUGCCCUCCAAAGGGGCACCUGCAUGCACUGGGAGUGGGCAGCAGCCAGCCUAGCCGUCAGGGCAAGAGCCCUCUGCCGUGCGCUUUGUGCCUCCAAGCCCCCAUCCCCACCUUGGUUGGGGCUGCAGACCUGCCAUCCUUGGUGGAACGUUCCUACCCCAGCUGAACCAAACCCAAAUGCCUGAGGCCUCGCUGGGGCUGCCCCAUAGGACACUGGGGUGGUACCAUGGAGAGACAGGGGAUAAAACUGAUCCAAAGCCAAGCCAGGACUGGCCACGGACCCAGUCUCCUGCGCCGUGUACUCAUGGAGCUCCAUAUGUCUCCCUAGCAACAGUUGAAGCUCUGCUGAGAAAAAUAAAUGUAUGAACUAUAUUUGACAACAUAAAAUCCAUAUAUUUUUCACCAUUUGGCAUUUAGUCCAACUUUGCAGCCCCUCUGUUCCAUGUCUUGCUGUCUGGGCCUUCUUGUCGUGUCUCGUGUUUGGUGGACUUGGGCAGGGCUACAACUGUGGUCUACUCUGUUCCUGCUGCUGGAGAAGCCACUGAGAAGGGUCCAGGUUUGUAGAGGCAUCAGGUGAACUGGCCACCACCCUGCUCCUGCCGUGACCCUAGCCCUGCCUAUGUGAUCGCCUGUGAACUCACCUACAGUAGAGAUCCUCUUUCGUGAGUUCUGCCUCUCAGAAGGGCUCUGCUCCUUGCCAGAGCAAGUGGAGUGAGCAGCUCAUUACCCAGCCAUGGGAUGACCCUGGAACCCUGCAGGCUGGGGUAAUGGCCCUCUUCUUAAGUUUAUAUAAGCCCUGAGUCCCAUAUCCUUACAAAGGGGUUGCAGUGCCCAUGCAGUCCCAAGAGGUAGGCUUGGAGGUAGACACUUGAGCAGCCUGCUGUUUCCAGAUAUGGAGAAGGGGGCUGAGAGCAAGGUGGAACUGGGCCAGGCUCCCCUUAGAUGCUCAUCCCCAAAGCUCCCCCCUUCCCAGUUGGCUGCAGUUUUCCCUCUUGCCCUUGGCUCCUGGAGCAAAAAUGUUAAGGGUGCUCCUUUCCCCUGCCUCCAGUCAGAGCAGACAAGGUCUUGAGGAAGUGUCCCCAGGAACUGCCUUCUAUAGCUCCUGAGGCCUUGGAGCCCAGCGGCUUGAAGUAGUGGCUCCUUUGUUCUGGAGCCCUCUGACAGGGCUCCGUGAGGACUUCUGAAAAGAGGCAACGCUGAGCAGAGUUCACGGUCAAUGUGUCCAGGCAGGUAGCAUACAUAGCUUUUCACCGAGACUCCUCUUCACCUGUACAGGCACAGGACAACAUAUCCCAGGCUCUAGGGCCAAAGGCCACUGAGGGGUCUCCACCCUAGGAACUCAUAGCCCCCUUCCGAUCUAGGCGACAUGUAAACUGGCCACCGUGCACUCACAUUAGGCUAUCUUGACAGAUUCCAGGGGACACAGGAGGGGGGCUGUGGGAAGGGGUCAUAACUCUCAGUCUCCUUUGUCUCUUUGUUCAGACAGAGUUGUGCCUGUCGCAGACAGCUCUGAAUUAAAGCAUGAACACACACACAG